Phacochoerus africanus (Common warthog) is the source of this 1000-nucleotide long non-coding RNA. RefSeq lists it as uncharacterized. The transcript is spliced from 3 exons. The record is from RefSeq and is a predicted model, not a curated record. Lineage: Eukaryota; Metazoa; Chordata; Mammalia; Artiodactyla; Suidae.
GCCCAGCCUCGCUCAGGGGCCGAGCCGUGCCUGCCUGGCCCAUGAGGAUCUGCACCAGCAGAACCUAGGACCCUGUCCAGCAUCACCUGUAGAGCAAGUAGCUCUGGAAAUCAUCUGCCUUCUUGAGCAGGAGGGGCGCGCCGCUCCGGCCCGCGCUGCGCGCCCGCGGGGCCCGUGCAAACGCGCGCUCCCGGAAUAUGGCAGUAUGCGUCCGAGAGAGACGACUUGGGCCGCCGCUGGCGCAGCCGUGUCCCGAGGGGGCGGCCAGAGGCCAGCGCCUUCAACAGUCCGAGGCGGUUUCCUUGAGAGGACGGAUCUCUACCGCGCAUCCAAAGACCAGGGGCCAGUUACCCGUAUAGACAGCGAGGACCUCCCCACCCCACUCGCUGACUCUCAAGCCCCAGAGUCUGUAUUUUUUAUUUAUUUAAACUAAGAGUUGAGAAACUGCACUAGAACUUGGUAGGCACUUGUGAUGUGAUGCAGUAGCUGUUCCUAACAUUAAUAAAAACCAUCACUUGGAAAAAUUUUCCCAUCCCAUGACUGCAUCUGAUGGCCCGGUCCCUUCUGUUUUUAUGAAGAGGAUCAUGAAGCCUGGAGACCCUACUUAUGGAACCAGAAAAGGCCCUUGCCCCCAACAGUUGUAGGCUGGAUUCUUUAUAACAUGCAAAAUUGUCAGAUAUAUAGUUACGAAGCCAAAGACAUUAAUUAUACUUAGACUCUGGUAAAGAACUCAGACAGGUGUCAGACCCUACCCUGCAUGUCCCUGCUGUGCUGAGCCAGUUGCUUAUCUGGAUAGUGGGCUUUUAAUGCACUUUGCCUAAUGGGGUUGUGGUGAGAAGCCAGUUACUGCUAGUCAUUUAACAAAUAUUUCAGCACCUACUGUGUGCCUAGGCACUGUUCUGGGAAUGGGGAGAUGGCAGAAUAAGCCAAUAUUCCUGCCCUCCUGGAGCAGUUACAAUGAUAGCUAUGUGGGCAGCCCCAUUCACUACCUGUCUCUCUC